UACGUAGGGUGCAAGCGUUGUCCGGAAUUAUUGGGCGUAAAGAGCUCGUAGGCGGUCUGUCGCGUCGGCUGUGAAAACCCGAGGCUCAACCUCGGGCCUGCAGUCGAUACGGGCAAACUAGAGUACUGCAGGGGAGACUGGAAUUCCUGGUGUAGCGGUGAAAUGCGCAGAUAUCAGGAGGAACACCGAUGGCGAAGGCAGGUCUCUGGGCUGUAACUGACGCUGAGGAGCGAAAGCGUGGGGAGCGAACAGG
This 253-nucleotide ribosomal RNA is filed under the name uncultured bacterium. RNAcentral's name for it is "partial 16S ribosomal RNA". It matches the Rfam family "Bacterial small subunit ribosomal RNA", at positions 524 to 776 of the family's 1533-position model. The record is from RNAcentral.